RNAcentral lists this transfer RNA (77 nucleotides) under Hyphomicrobiales bacterium. Its description in RNAcentral is "tRNA-Pro". It matches the Rfam family "tRNA". Rfam says of the family: Transfer RNA (tRNA) molecules are approximately 80 nucleotides in length. Their secondary structure includes four short double-helical elements and three loops (D, anti-codon, and T loops). Further hydrogen bonds mediate the characteristic L-shaped molecular structure. tRNAs have two regions of fundamental functional importance: the anti-codon, which is responsible for specific mRNA codon recognition, and the 3' end, to which the tRNAs corresponding amino acid is attached (by aminoacyl-tRNA synthetases). tRNAs cope with the degeneracy of the genetic code in two manners: having more than one tRNA (with a specific anti-codon) for a particular amino acid; and 'wobble' base-pairing, i.e. permitting non-standard base-pairing at the 3rd anti-codon position. The record is from RNAcentral. Lineage: Bacteria; Pseudomonadati; Pseudomonadota; Alphaproteobacteria; Hyphomicrobiales. RNAcentral also lists the same sequence under 1 other name.
CGGGGCUUAGCGCAGUCUGGUAGCGCAUCUGCUUUGGGAGCAGAGGGUCGCAAGUUCAAAUCUUGCAGCCCCGACCA